UCUUUGCGCGGCCUACACAUGCAAGUCGAACGGUAGCACAGAGAGCUUGCUCUCGGGUGACGAGUGGCGGACGGGUGAGUAACGUCUGGGAAACUGCCCGAUGGAGGGGGAUAACUACUGGAAACGGUAGCUAAUACCGCAUAACGUCGCAAGACCAAAGUGGGGGACCUUCGGGCCUCACACCAUCGGAUGUGCCCAGAUGGGAUUAGCUAGUAGGUGGGGUAAUGGCUCACCUAGGCGACGAUCCCUAGCUGGUCUGAGAGGAUGACCAGCCACACUGGAACUGAGACACGGUCCAGACUCCUACGGGAGGCAGCAGUGGGGAAUAUUGCACAAUGGGCGCAAGCCUGAUGCAGCCAUGCCGCGUGUAUGAAGAAGGCCUUCGGGUUGUAAAGUACUUUCAGCGGGGAGGAAGGCGGUGAAGUUAAUAGCUUCACCGAUUGACGUUACCCGCAGAAGAAGCACCGGCUAACUCCGUGCCAGCAGCCGCGGUAAUACGGAGGGUGCAAGCGUUAAUCGGAAUUACUGGGCGUAAAGCGCACGCAGGCGGUCUGUCAAGUCGGAUGUGAAAUCCCCGGGCUUAACCUGGGAACUGCAUUCGAAACUGGCAGGCUAGAGUCUUGUAGAGGGGGGGUAGAAUUCCAGGUGUAGCGGUGAAAUGCGUAGAGAUCUGGAGGAAUACCGGUGGCGAAGGCGGCCGCCCUGGACAAAGACUGACGCUCAGGUGCGAAAGCGUGUGGAGCAAAACAGGAUUAGAUACCCUGGUAGUCCACGCCGGUAAACGAUGUCGACUUGGAGGUUGUUCCCUUGAGGAGUGGCUUCCGGAGCUAACCCUUUUCACGCGACCCGCCCUGGGGAGU
This 860-nucleotide ribosomal RNA is filed under the name Klebsiella oxytoca. Its description in RNAcentral is "bacterial SSU rRNA". It matches the Rfam family "Bacterial small subunit ribosomal RNA", at positions 37 to 881 of the family's 1533-position model. Lineage: Bacteria; Pseudomonadati; Pseudomonadota; Gammaproteobacteria; Enterobacterales; Enterobacteriaceae. The record is from RNAcentral.